GUAGGACUGUCUCCCUCUGCUCUCCCGGAUGCGACGUGGUCAAGCGCUGCAAAGAAAAACCAAAGUAACAAACUCCUACAGAGGCAAGAGCUAGGCCCUGAAGAGUGAGCAGAUGGCCAACCAGCAGGGAGGAAGAAAAGCCUAAAUAAACACCUGCUUCUGUGUUCGGAAUAUCCUGGUUUGCAGCAUGGACAAAGGCCUGGCCAGAGCCAACAGACCAACCGACAGGAGGAAGGACAGGCCUCCAGAGGGGGCUGCUAAAAGAUUGGGCCAAGAAUGUCACAAGGAGGAAUUCCUGUGGAACCAAGAGGCUGGAUGGGGCUCUGGAGAAGAACAUAGGCAAAGCCACUGAACACCUGCAGGCCUCCCUGAUUAUCUGGUGAAAGUGCCUGUUUUCUGUAUAGAGGGAGGCCCAGUCCCAGCAAGAGGCCUAGAGAGUAGACUGACUGAGUCAGUAGAGCUGGGUAGCCACUCAGGCAAGCAGGGUGAGUGUGGUGAUAUGACCAGACACAAGCAAACCAGGGUUGGGGCAGCCCUUGACGAUCACUCAAGGCUCCCACCCACCCUGGUCAACAGGUCCCCACAAACCACAGCAGGUACCACAGGGCUCUCCCCUUGGGCCCCCAGGUAUUCCUCACAGUUCCCAAUGAGGCACAGUCCACGGGGCACUACAGAUGCUAAGCACCAAUGAGGACUUUGGUCAGUAAUUCUCAAAGUGUAGUUCAGAGAACUCUGGGCAUCCCCAAAACUCUUCCAUGUGAAUGAGUCAUUUGUUUAUUUUAUAGAGAAUGACAAAUUCUUAAGUUUUCUGUUCUAAUUUUCUCUUACUGUAAGUACUGUUAAGAUAAAAUCCAUACAAACAAAA
Mesocricetus auratus (golden hamster) is the source of this 865-nucleotide long non-coding RNA. RefSeq lists it as uncharacterized. Lineage: Eukaryota; Metazoa; Chordata; Mammalia; Rodentia; Cricetidae. The transcript is spliced from 2 exons. The record is from RefSeq and is a predicted model, not a curated record.